This 1882-nucleotide long non-coding RNA is filed under the name Ananas comosus (pineapple). RNAcentral's name for it is "long non-coding RNA (ACOM_LNC035655)". Lineage: Eukaryota; Viridiplantae; Streptophyta; Magnoliopsida; Poales; Bromeliaceae. The record is from RNAcentral.
CUUCUCCGGGCAGAUAUGAAAAGAACACGCCGAAUCGAGCACCCACGCAUCAUUUGAAAUUUUUGCAUCUCCGGUCGCCGCAUACAGCACAUCAAAAUCGAUCGUCUCUAACUCUGCCGCUUGUGCCGUCGCUGAUACAAUCUCAUCCUGGUUCAUGACAGUUUUCUUCUUAUGUCACUCUAAUUCCUUCAGAUCAUUUUGAAGUUUUCGACAAUUGCGCUUGAUAUGCCAUUUCCUAUGACAGUAAAAGCACUCCACCUCGAAUAGCCGCUUCUUCUGUCGAUCUCCAGUCGUUGAUAUUGUCGCCUCGUUCUUCACUCUCACCACCAGAGUAGUAUCACGGCUCUAUGUGCCGGGCUCCUGAGUUAUCUUUCGUAUUUCGCUUGAGAGAAGCGCUGCCAUGACCUCCUCUGUGACACCCAAUAGUCCCACAUCGGAUGGGAACGGGAUAAUGCUUGGGUUUAUAAGAGACUUGGGCCACUAGUAAUAAUAACUGGGCUAGAGCAUUUUGGGUUGUUGAUUAGACCCAACGAAUUAUUAUUGCUAGUGGGCCGUAUCGUUACAUUUGGUAUCAAAGCCAGUUCACCAGCUGGAAGUGUGAGAUGAGUCUCGACUCAGCCAAGGUCGGAAUAACAGACUAAACCAGGGUCGGUGAAUGACAGUUAAGUCAAAGUCGGAAUGACAAAGACUAGCGAAACAAGUCUUAUAUCGCUUGGUGAUCUUGAGCUAGAUACGUGUUUAGAGCUGACGAGGACGUUAGGGCCUAAAUGGGGGGAGUCUGUGACACCUAAUAGUUCCACAUCGGAUGGGAACGGGAUAAUGCUUGGGUUUAUAAGAGACUUGGGCCACUAGUAGUAAUAACUGGGCUUAAACAUUUUGGGUUGUUAGAUAGACCAAACGAGUUAUUACUGCUAGUGGGCCGGGUCGUUACAGCCUCCACGCUUAUGGCCUCUUUGCCAUAAAGCAACGUGAUCACCCGUACUUUAAUCUGCCACAAUUCGAAAUUGUUCUUGCCGUCGAACUUCUCGAUUUCGAAUUUUGUGGCCCUCUCCGUCGAUCUCUCUCGCAUAACGGUAACCUUCGGCUCUGAUACCAAUUGUUGGGAAUCCGGAACUCGCCUCGGUACCGAAUUUUGAGAAUCCGCAACUUGCUCCGAUACCGACUGUUGUUGAUUCGGUACCAAUUGUUGGGAUUCCGCAACGGAAGCGUCGAAUUCGAUUUUUUACCAUAAAUCCAUCUCCUCAGCAAAAGCUGAUACAAUCAUAAAAAAGAGAAAAAUUAAAACUAAAAAUAUGUGGAUAAAAUAAGAUUCAUUAAAUAAGAGAAGAUUACACCUGACUCAUAUUCUGCAAUAGAAUAGCUACAAUCUGCACCCUUAUUUUGAAUCUCUCCUACCCUUCUCUCGUCUUCUAUAAAUCCAUAAGAAGACAACUCUCUCUUUUUCUCUCUCACAUGCACCCUGCACUAGGUGCAUGCAACCAUUACUUUUUCUCUCCUAGCAAGGCUUCAAUCAAGAAGGCACUCUCUCUCACUAUACUCUCUACAAAAAAAAGCAUCCCAAAUAGUGCUUUUAUAAUGCAUCCUUUAAAACGUACGCGAAUUCUAGUCCAAUUAGAAUUCCUACUCCAAUUAAUAUUUAAAUAUAUAUUUUUUUUUAUCUCCAAUGGAUUUAAAUAUUUAUCCUAAUCUAGUUAGAUUCAUGCUCCAAUUAAUAUUUAAAUCUUAAUUUAUCUCCAAUAGAUUUAAAUAUUAAUCAUUAUCCAAGUAGAAUUAAUUUACAAAUAUAACUAAAUCCUAACAUCUCCACCUUAUUUCCUAACACAAUUUUUAAAUAAAUAACAAUAUAAGCAACAUGCCGCAUCUUCUUUUAUACUAUAUUCUA